This 336-nucleotide RNase P RNA is filed under the name Candidatus Caccomorpha excrementavium. Its description in RNAcentral is "Bacterial RNase P class A". It matches the Rfam family "Bacterial RNase P class A". Rfam says of the family: Ribonuclease P (RNase P) is a ubiquitous endoribonuclease, found in archaea, bacteria and eukarya as well as chloroplasts and mitochondria. Its best characterised activity is the generation of mature 5'-ends of tRNAs by cleaving the 5'-leader elements of precursor-tRNAs. Lineage: Bacteria; Bacillati; Bacillota; Clostridia. The record is from RNAcentral.
AGUACGGAUAAUCGCGGCCGCGGGAACCCGCGGGUGAGGAAAGUCCGGGCUUCGCAGGGCAGGGUGCCGGAUAACGUCCGGUGGAGGCGACUCCAAGGAAAGUGCAACAGAAAAGAAACCGCCGGGAGAUUCUCCCGGUAAGGGUGGAAUGGCGGUGUAAGAGACCACCGCUUCUCUGGUAACAGGGAAGGCUGUGUAAACCCCACCCGAAGCAAGGCCAAAUGGAAAGCAAUACGGCGGCCCGUCGUGCUUUCGGGUAGGCCGCUUGAUCCAUACGGCAACGUAUGGGCUAGAUAGAUGAUUAUCGAAUACAGAACCCGGCUUACAGUACUGCUC